GAUGCACGCUGACAGAAUGCUUAACACAUGCAAGUCAACUGUGGUGGACGGGUGAGUAACGCGUAAAGAACUCGCCAUACGGCUAGGGACAACAUUUGGAAACGAAUGCUAAUACCCGUUUCUGUGAGAGAACUUUGCGUCCCAUUAGCUCGUUGGAGAGGUAACGGUUCACCAAGGCGUUGAUGGGUAGCCGGCUUGUGGGGGUGAUCGGCCACAAGGGGACUGAACCACGGCCCUUACUCCUACGGGAGGCAGAGGUGGGAAGUAUUGAACAAGGGACCAAAGUCUGGUCGAGCAAUGCUGUGUGCACGAUGGAGUUUUCGGAGUGUAAAGUGCUUUCAGUUGGGAAGCGGUACCAACAGAAGAAGUGACGGCUAAAUACGUGCCAGCAGCCGCGAUAAUAC
RNAcentral lists this ribosomal RNA (404 nucleotides) under uncultured bacterium. Its description in RNAcentral is "partial 16S ribosomal RNA". It matches the Rfam family "Bacterial small subunit ribosomal RNA", at positions 28 to 526 of the family's 1533-position model. The record is from RNAcentral.